GUUCAGAGUUGGCCUUAUAGUUUUCCAGCUUCAGUGGACUACCCCACUAAAGAAGAGAGAGGUUCACUUAGUGGCCGAUUACUCGUUCGAGACAGGAAAGUUGACAUAACUUAUUCCCUUGAUUGAGAAUUUAUUGCUUAUGGAUUCCAUACUAAAAUUUCUCAGAAGCUCUAUAGUUGGGUAAUGCUAAUUAUUAAUUUAGUAGUGUCGGAAUCUUUAUGAUUGAUUCUCCACAAUUCCUGAGUUGGACUAUUAUUAUUCUUUAAGUGCUAGGAUUGGAUAGGCAUGUGGGUUUACUUUUGUUAGUUUUGAGACUUCAGUACUUGUAGCUUUUCUGCAAUUAACUAAUGAGAAUUAUGGAGCUUGGGUUAUACUUGGAUCGCUGAUUUUUGAUAAGCAAGUGACUUUACUAGGUGGGUUUGUCGGAGAAUUCAAUAGUUUUAGCUUUUCUAUAGUUACUAUGAAAUCUAGACUAUAAUUAUAUUCUUUUAAACUAUUUUUCCUAAGCAAGUGAGUUUAUCGGGUGGUUUGGUGGGAGAAUUCAGUACUUUUAGCUUUUAUAUAGUUACUAAGAAAUCUAGACUAUAAUUUUAUCCUUUGAAACUGUUUUUUCAAAUAAAACACCCUUUAGCUUCUUUAAUCCUCAGAUUUGUCAGCAGCAACGACAUGAUUGCGGAGCUGCUUAUGUUGGGCUGGCUUUGCCUGGAGAUGCUGGCUCGUGGCAAAGAGAAUGCAAGGGAUAUCAAUUCUGGACCAAAACUGAUUCUGAAGGUUAUUUCACCGUUAAUAGUGUUGGGAUUGGAGAUUACAAUCUCUAUGCAUGGGUAUAUGGUUUCAUUGGAGACUACAAAUAUGAUGACAUGAUCACUAUAUCUGCUGGUUCAGGCAGUAUGGGUUGUGGGAAAGAUAUGCUGACUUGUAUCCUAAUGAGGAUCUUGUCUACAUUGUUGGCACAAGCGACUAUCGGAAAGAUUGGUUUUUCGCACAGGUUACAAGAAGGGGGAAAAUGGCACAUAUCAAGCUACGACAUGGCAGAUAGAGUUCAACCUUGACAAUGUAAACCAAGAUGGUACCUAUAAGCUCCCAGUCGCCCUUGCAUCAGCUGCAAUGGCCGAACUACAGGUUCGAUUCAAUGAUCCCAAAGCCAAUCCACCACAUUUUACAACUGGAAGAAUAGGGAUGGAUAAUGCGAUCGCUAUCGCUAGGCAUGGGAUUCAUGGUCUCCACUGGUUGUAUAGUGUUGACAUAGAAAACACCUGCUUGUGGUGGGGGUAAAUACAAUCUUUCUCACUCAACCUAGAUGCACAAGUCCUUUCCAAGGUAUUCUUUAUGACUAUAUCAGGCUAGAAGGGCCUCCCUCCAAAGAGCUUCCUCACCAUUCUCAUUGAAGGGCAACAUCCCCCCUUUUUCAAUAUGUAAUCCUUGCAUUUCCAUUUUGAUGGGCGGUUUCAUCAUAGAAGACCCAUUGUUUUUGAGAAACUUGAUUUUGUUGUUGGACAUGAUUGCCAUAAUUUCUUAAGAGAUAGUCAAAGAUAUGUAACCUGAAUAAGUAGUAACAAGAAAAUUUCAUAAAGUUUUAGCUAAUGUAGAGUAUUGCGAUAAAUUAUGUGUGUUUUAGAGUUCUAUUCAAGUUUAUAAAACUUCAACGCAUUCAAAGUGGUGAUUUUUUAUUUU
Molecule: non-coding RNA, 1674 nt
Organism: Amborella trichopoda
Lineage: Eukaryota; Viridiplantae; Streptophyta; Magnoliopsida; Amborellales; Amborellaceae
Source: RefSeq, a predicted model, not a curated record